This 79-nucleotide transfer RNA is filed under the name Collinsella aerofaciens. RNAcentral describes it as "tRNA-Glu(ctc)". It matches the Rfam family "tRNA". Rfam says of the family: Transfer RNA (tRNA) molecules are approximately 80 nucleotides in length. Their secondary structure includes four short double-helical elements and three loops (D, anti-codon, and T loops). Further hydrogen bonds mediate the characteristic L-shaped molecular structure. tRNAs have two regions of fundamental functional importance: the anti-codon, which is responsible for specific mRNA codon recognition, and the 3' end, to which the tRNAs corresponding amino acid is attached (by aminoacyl-tRNA synthetases). tRNAs cope with the degeneracy of the genetic code in two manners: having more than one tRNA (with a specific anti-codon) for a particular amino acid; and 'wobble' base-pairing, i.e. permitting non-standard base-pairing at the 3rd anti-codon position. The record is from RNAcentral. Lineage: Bacteria; Bacillati; Actinomycetota; Coriobacteriia; Coriobacteriales; Coriobacteriaceae.
UGGCCCGUUCGUCUAGCGGUUUAGGACGCCGCCCUCUCAAGGCGGAGAUCACCAGUUCGAAUCUGGUACGGGCUACCCA